CGUGGUUAAGCUGUAACCGUACCCGGCACCCCAGCGGUGGUGUGGGCCUCAGUCCAGCAUCAAGUGACGGGCCUGAACGCCCCCCCCCUCACUCCUGCCACAGCCCGUGAGCUGUGGCUGCCUAUAAAUGCACAUGGAAAACAUCUUAGACCUAAAUAAGUACUGGCUGCCUGUCUCCCGUGGUCAAACACAAGAAUACUAGAAUUUGACCAGAGCAGCUGUAGUGUAUUUAGCCGAGGCAAGACUGAUGGAGAGGACUGGCAGCCUUGGAUCUGCAGCUGCUCCAAGCUUUUCUGCCAUUUGAAGCUUGUUCUGGGAUCCAGCUGUGACCAGAGGAAUAGCGCCAGCCAUCCGGGUGCUGGCCCACCUCUGUGGCACAGGACUUCAGCCAACAGCAUGUGAGGCACUCAGUUUAUGGCUGCUUGGCAAAAUCUGGGACCUUGGAGCCAAACAGGGUCCAAACAAAGGAACCUGUGUCCCUCUGGUUUUACACUGGCUUGAGGUGCCUCUGGGUUCAAUCCCUGGUACAAAAAAAAAAAAAAAAA
Long non-coding RNA from Ictidomys tridecemlineatus (thirteen-lined ground squirrel), 545 nucleotides. RefSeq lists it as uncharacterized. NCBI's taxonomy places the organism in Eukaryota, Metazoa, Chordata, Mammalia, Rodentia, Sciuridae. The record is from RefSeq and is a predicted model, not a curated record.